GGACCCUGGCUCAGAGGCAGGUCAUCUGCUUGGCACGCAGAAGGUCCCAGGUUCAGUCCCAGGCAUCUCCA
RNAcentral lists this transfer RNA (71 nucleotides) under Sphaerodactylus townsendi. RNAcentral describes it as "tRNA-Ala". Lineage: Eukaryota; Metazoa; Chordata; Lepidosauria; Squamata; Sphaerodactylidae. The record is from RNAcentral.